This 427-nucleotide ribosomal RNA is filed under the name uncultured bacterium. RNAcentral's name for it is "bacterial SSU rRNA". It matches the Rfam family "Bacterial small subunit ribosomal RNA", at positions 355 to 774 of the family's 1533-position model. The record is from RNAcentral.
UAGGGAAUAUUGGACAAUGGGCGCAAGCCUGAUCCAGCCAUGCCGCGUGAGUGAAGAAGGCCCUCGGGUUGUAAAGCUCUUUUGUCCGGAAAGAAAAGCAUCGGGUUAAUACCCCGGUGUUCUGACGGUACCGGAAGAAUAAGCACCGGCUAACUUCGUGCCGGCAGCCGCGGUAAUACGAAGGGUGCAAGCGUUACUCGGAAUUACUGGGCGUAAAGCGUGCGUAGGUGGUUCGUUAAGUCUGAUGUGAAAGCCCUGGGCUCAACCUGGGAAUGGCAUUGGAAACUGGCGGACUGGAGUGCGGUAGAGGGCAGCGGAAUUCCCGGUGUAGCAGUGAAAUGCGUAGAGAUCGGGAGGAACAUCCGUGGCGAAGGCGGCUACCUGGACCAGCACUGACACUGAGGCACGAAAGCGUGGGGAGCAAACA